Scophthalmus maximus (turbot) is the source of this 2187-nucleotide long non-coding RNA. The record is from Ensembl. Lineage: Eukaryota; Metazoa; Chordata; Actinopteri; Pleuronectiformes; Scophthalmidae.
GGCUUGAAAAUGCCUAGACCAAAAGGAGGACACUGUCAUCAAGGAGGCCGCGGACAUGGACAUGGACAUGGUGGUGGUGGCCACAGCCACGGGCAUAAACAUGAACAUGGACUCAAGUGCAGAAAGAGGCACAAGCAAGGCCACAAGCAUAAGAAUUGUCACAAGAAGGGGAAGGACUGUCAUGGGGUAAGAUUUAAUUGUGCAAUCUAUAGUCAAACAAGCUGUAAAAGUUUUUGCUUUCCAACCGUAUCAGAAUUGACACAGGAAUACUCUUUUAUUAAUAACAUGUUGAAUAACAAGUUAUUUAUUUAAUGCUCCACAUUAAUACAGUUACAUACAUCCCACACUAGGAUGUCACUUAGAACAACCACAGUCUUACAUGCUGCCAUGGGGGAAGUGAUGGCUUUAGUACCUUCUCUUCAGUCAUCAUAUGGGAAGAGCACUUAUUCAUUUCUGUUCUCUUCUCUGCUCCAAAACUGAAGAUUUAUUUACAAGAGACAAAAACUCAUUCUAGCUGCUGUCAGCAGCUGAAUAACUCACUGCCAUUAUCACACUCUCAAAUUGAAAUAAUGAAGAAUAACAAAAUAAUAGAUUCAAAUCAAAAUCAGAUUGGUAGCUGUCUCCAGUGGAUUUAAUUGGUGAAAUAAUAAUGUCUGUCUCGUUUGUUCAACCCUCCUGUAGUCCUCCAGCAGCUCCUGCAGCAGCAGCAGCAGCAGCAGCAGCAGCAGCAGCGACUCUGACUAGAUGAAGAUUUCUGGAUGAAGCAGGUUGACAGCAGGAAACCUCUGUCGUCUUGGCUUAUACAAUCAUCUGUUUACUUUUGUCAGAAUGUUUGAAACACACAUUAGGCUUUCACAGGUUUUGAGUAUUAAGUUGUGAUGUAAUAAAGUUCACAGUAAAAACAUGGGCUUUUUACAACUGUAAGGAAUUAUUAUGUGAUAAUGAUGGCUUUCAAAUGUUUCUGAGUGUUUGUUUGCAGUAAAGUGAAACAGUCUGCGCAAAAUUUCAAAAUCAAAAGUUGAGUUUGUGAAGUGGAGUUGGGUGUGUUAUUGGUGUCAUUCUUAAUAAUACCACUGGAUGGUGGUAAAUAGUAUAUAAAUGGUUAUCUAAUCCUUAAAGUGACUGGAAUAAUGAGACAAAAAGGGCAAUACAAUUAGAAAGAUGCAAUGAAUCUACAGAUAUUAUUCUCAUAGUUUUACAUCCUAAUAGUUUGUCACCUUGUGGUGAAAAAAACUGUAGUUGCAGAGAAGAGCCCAAAAUCUCAAGUAUAUGUUUACACACGUCACACAAGUAUAAAUAAGUUUAAAAAAAGUAAAAAGUUUAAAGAGUACUAGCAGCUAUAUCUGACACACACACACACACACAGAUUUUUAAAAACAAUGUUUAAGAUUUACAAGAGAACAUCACGGUCCUCUACAAAUGAAAUGAGAAAAAAAAACAUACAACAAAAUAACAGAAAACCAGAAUAAAUCAGGUCACAAACAGAGUGAAAGAUGAGUUCUCCCUCCAUCACUGAACACACAGCCGUGGUGAAACACCACUGAUUCAAAAACUCUUGCAUGUCGUUCAUCAGAGAGUGGAACCUGAAGUCCACUCUCACUCUGGCUCUCACCAGAGACACGUACAUGUGUCAGCUCGUGACCGGACACAUUUCCUAUCUUGUCUUUCCUGCUUUUAUUAAUCGACAACUUGGCCUGACCAACCACAAAAUUCAGCAACUGCCACUUUGCAGCAUCUUGUUUUCUGUAGCCAGCAUCAAAAAUAAAUGCAGAGAGAGAGAGAGAGAACAUCUUCUGAAAUCUUCUUGUGAAACUUAACAUUUUUGAAAAUUUCAAUCAUGUAUCUAAAAACCAAAAGAGGAAAUGAUCAGAUCCACCCAUUUUGUCAGGCGUCCACAAAAUGGUAGGCAAGAACGCAAUAGCACAACAGAAAAGAAGAUGCAGAGCAGUUCAGGUGCAAAAACAGGGUUUAAUGGACAGGCAGAAGUCAAACCAGGUAGACAAUCGGCAAAGCAAACAAAUCCAGUAGGGCAGGCACAAAGGAAAGUCCAAAGUGGCAGGCCAAAACAGGUACAGCCAGAAUCAGAAUAACAAAAUGCUGGAGAGCUAGGAGACCCACAAGACAAUCUGGAAGAAAACUGAGAGAAGGGACCAGUAUAUAUACUCUGCAGAGCUGAUUAGGUGAUGA